CUAACACAUGCAGUCGGGCGGUACAGGGAAGCUUGCUAUCUGCUGACGAGCGGCGGACGGGUGAGUAAUGCAUAGGAAUCUGCCUGGUAGUGGGGGAUAGCCCAGAGAAAUUUGGAUUAAUACCGCAUACGCCCUACGGGGGAAAGCUGGGGACCUUCGGGCCUAGCGCUAUCAGAUGAGCCUAUGUCGGAUUAGCUUGUUGGUGAGGUAACGGCUCACCAAGGCGACGAUCCGUAGCUGGUCUGAGAGGAUGAUCAGCCACACUGGGACUGAGACACGGCCCAGACUCCUACGGGAGGCAGCAGUGGGGAAUAUUGGACAAUGGGCGCAAGCCUGAUCCAGCCAUGCCGCGUGUGUGAAGAAGGCCUUCGGGUUGUAAAGCACUUUCAGCGAGGAGGAAAGGGGUGUUGCUAAUAUCAACGCCCUGUGACGUUACUCGCAGAAGAAGCACCGGCUAACUCCGUGCGAGCACGCGGGGGAAAUAUAAA
RNAcentral lists this ribosomal RNA (488 nucleotides) under uncultured Gammaproteobacteria bacterium. RNAcentral describes it as "bacterial SSU rRNA". It matches the Rfam family "Bacterial small subunit ribosomal RNA", at positions 48 to 529 of the family's 1533-position model. Lineage: Bacteria; Pseudomonadati; Pseudomonadota; Gammaproteobacteria. The record is from RNAcentral.